Cebus imitator (Panamanian white-faced capuchin) is the source of this 363-nucleotide long non-coding RNA. RefSeq lists it as uncharacterized. The record is from RefSeq and is a predicted model, not a curated record. Lineage: Eukaryota; Metazoa; Chordata; Mammalia; Primates; Cebidae. The transcript is spliced from 2 exons.
CGCCCACCUCGGCCUGCCAAAGUGCUGAGAUCACAGGUGUGAACCACUGCGCCUGGCCGAAUUUGAUUAUCUUUUAAAUAUUUUCAUCAAAACUCUUAGGUCUAUUUAAAUUAUAAAUUAGACUGGAAAGAUCAUUUGUGUUACCCAAUUAAAACUAAAUACUAAUUGAGUAUUUUAUUUUAAUUGGGUAACACAAAUUUAGUUUGUGGUAAGAAAAAAAUGUUAGGGUCUUUCUGUUGUUUCCUUCUAAUACUGUCUUUAACUUGUACAUGCUGAAUUUUGUUUGAAGUAUUAUGAUUUGUAAAGCUUUCAAACAUAACGAUGUUAUUAUUAUUGGUAGUAAAGGUUUAUUUUUAACAGUAA